Larimichthys crocea (large yellow croaker) is the source of this 656-nucleotide long non-coding RNA. RefSeq lists it as uncharacterized. The record is from RefSeq and is a predicted model, not a curated record. NCBI's taxonomy places the organism in Eukaryota, Metazoa, Chordata, Actinopteri, Sciaenidae. The transcript has 3 exons.
UAUGCAUGUGUACAUACGUGUGUGUGUGAGUAUUCACACCUCUUACACACAUGUACAUCUGUUUCCAGCUAAAAGGUUCUGAUAAACCCGCUGCACACUCUCUGUUCAGCACUAAACAGAGAGAGUUUUCUCAGAAUUACUGAAACCAAGCCAUUUCUAAAAAGCAAAUGGAUGCCAGUGCACUCAAAAAACUGAUCCAAGCCCUUCUUUGGUGUGACACAUUAAAUUGUUGUUUGAUUUGCUUAAAUAAGUCUAGUAAACACUAAAUAUAUGUACAUUUAAUUGUGGUAAUGUAAUAGUUUCAUCUUGACAUGAACUCAAAACAAAUGUGUUUCAUUUGAAUUGGGACCGCCCAAGCAUGCACAAGCAUGUGCGAGGCAACGCGCUCUCAGGCUCUGUUUCUCCUGGUCCUUCUUCAGACUUCUGACUCAACCUCUGCCAACUCUCCUGCGUGAUUUUACUUUACAGAGCCACAGAAAGCUGCUGUAAUUCCACUCCCUGAUGGACCAAUUCUCAGACUGAUUCAGAUCUUCCAGAGCAAAGGAGGAGUUAAAGGGCUAAAGAUCAAGUGCAUCCUGGCAAUGACAGACUCGUCCUCUGCAGCUGAGGAUGCAGAGAGGGACAUGUGUGAUUGAGAACACAAAAGUCCUCAACAA